ACAGGCUGACCAGGCCUGUGCAAGGCAACCAUUUUGUUGCAGAUUUCUGUGGAGAAGCCGAGGCCAUCAGCUCUUUUGGGUUGUUUGUGGAGCAAAACUUGGUGAGCUGCUGAGUAUUUGCUUCCCUUGGAACAGGCUGCUCCAAUUUCAGUAAUAAAGUGGGUAGAGUUUGCAAGGAUUAAAAAUGGCUUUCACAGAAAAGAAAAGGACCUAACGUUCGUAAACCCGUGAUCCCCAGCUUCUGUGGGAAACACUUGGAGGUUAAUGUGCUGCUCCUUUGACCACGAAGUUCCUGGUAUGUGAAAGUCUUGCUGGGAAACGUUUAGUUGUUAAUUUGGUCCGAUGAUCCCCCGUGGAGGAAGGGAGGCUGGCUCCCCGGGUUAGGAAUGUGGGGGUGUGCCUCGUGCCUGUGGCUGCAUGAGCCUUUCUGCUUGCGUAUUGGAAGCGCUCUCCAAAAGAGUCAGGAGGGAGUUGUGCAAAACGAUGCUUGCUUUAUUUUCCGAGAGGGAAGCCAGCGUACAUGCAGGGACUCUUUAUCCGUCCUCUUUCCUGUCUGGUAACUUGAGCCCAUGUUAUCUCCUUAAUGUCAUUUAGUCAGUACUUGUUAGACCUUAGCAACCAUGCCACUUUAAUUUCUAUUUCUCUAUAGUUAACUCUGAAAUUUAGUUUCCGCAGUAUAGCAGCCUUUAUAGCAGUGUAGCAGGUUUGGAUAAGCGUGUAUUGUUUAACCUACAUAUGACACCAACGCUGAAAUCCAGCUAGCUGGUCCACACAUAGUGUUUUACUCUAUGCAGACAGUACAUGGGGUAUAUUUAGGGUUAUGACUAUAUUUAGUAUGUUGUUCUGAAACAUCUGACAGCCAUAAGGUCUGGGUUAUGGAGAGUUUGGUUUUUGAGUAUCAGCAGCGAGCUGAAACUUCCCCCUGUGGCAACAGUGUUUGGGCUACAUAAACAGCAAAGAAUUGGUUCUGCUUGAAUUUGUCAUCACUCUGUUGUUGAUUUUCAGUUUCUCUGUGACAAUAGGAACUCUGGAAGAGAAAGAAUAACAUCUCUUUCCUUUGCUGAAUGUAGUAUCAAUGAUGUGGGAAAAGUGGAUAGUUGAAAAUAGCCUUGUUCAAACAGACCUCCCACAGAAGCCUGUAUGAGUCUGGCAGACACUAGAGUUUGAAUAAGUGCUUCAUGAUUUGGUUUUGACUUAAUAGUUCAUAUCAGCAUUUAAAAAAAAAAAACUAACACUACCCCUUCUUCACUGAAGAGCUUUCAACUUUGUGCUCAAUGACUGCAUUUACCUGUUAAUGUACAAGAAGAUUGAUUUUCAUGUGAUUUGCUUCUAAUGUCAAGCCAUAAAGCAGCCUAGAGUCUGAUCCCAGAAGACCUUACCCAACAUUGUCUGCCUGCUGCAGCAAACAGCAUUUCUUGCAAAUAAUUAAAUCCCUGGGGAAUAUCAAUAGCUGGGUUGCUAAUACUGCAUUUAGAUAAGAAGGAGGAACUGUAGGUGAUGUGGGAGAAUUACUUUGAAGAAUCCACUGUCUCUCUAAAGCACUUUCUACUGAGAGCAGAUAUCUAUCAAAUUUUCCUCUUGCCAGUUAAAUUUAGGGCUGAAAUUCCUGCUACUGUAGAGAUUCAGGAGGUCCAGCCCUUCAUGACCACAUCAGCUUGUUGCUGCAGUUGUCUUCUGGAUUGGUGCAGGCCAAGGCUGUGAUCGGACAUGUCCUAAAGUACCCCAGACCUGGUAUGCUCUCCCCACUCCUAGCUGCCUUUAACUGCAGGUACCAGGGCAAGAACUGGAGUUGGAGCUUUCCCAGCAGGUGCACCCUCUUCCCAUCCCUGCUUGGGGCAGCAUCAUGCUCAAAGCCUGUGAACACAGUGUGUUACAGGCUUCCCUGAGCAUGCACUUGCACUUGCCCUUCACAUCAGGAGCAGAAACUUACUGGAUGUGUCUUGAGCCUUCAGUUGGAGUGGAGAUGCUUAAACCCCCUCCACGCAUCCCACUGUUGUGUUUCCAAAGAGCUAAACACUAGCAGCUUCUUCGACAGCUAAUGGGAGCUGCAGUAAGAGCUCAGCAAUCAUGGGAAUCAAGCCUUUAAUUACACUCUUGGGAAUGAAAGGAGAUGUCUUAUCCUGCCAUGAACCUUUAAAAGCCCUGGUAAGUGCAGUGGAAGUGGUUUGUAAUAGCAGGAAUUCAUUUGUUAAUAAACUUCCCCUUGCCUGUCCUGUCACUAAUUCAGUGGGCUUCCAGUGUGAGCCUCAGCUGCAAGAUGGCUGGUGCUCAAGCUGGGGAAAAGCAGCUCAGUGUUUCAGGGGUUUUGGUAGCAUCGUGGUUCUGAAAAAAGCUUCCUAGCUCAUUUUGGUAUAGAUGGGGUAAUGGAUGUACCUAUUUACUAGCUUGAUUAGCAGCUUGUUUCCUUCUGGAGUAAAUGCAUAAUAUAUGUAGAGCAACUGAAAAGUUGUUAGGAGUAAGUUUAAAGAAAAUACAUAGGAAAGAGGGCUUGACUAUAUAGAACACUAACAGGUAACAGUCUUGCACUGGCAGGGAUAAGAAAAAUGUUUUAAUGUGUUUCCCUGAUUACCAAGGAAAUCCCUGUGUGUUUUACUAUUUUAUAUAUCAAAAAUACAAAGUCAUGGAUCUGGAAGUUAGAGGGCUAUCAGUGUUCUUCAGCCUCACCUGGGUCUCAUGGUGCCAGGAAGAGUCCCGUUGGCUCCACUGGUGCUCCUUGCUCGUGCAGCCCGGUGCAUGGUGGCAGUGUCCAGCACGUGUCCCCUCCUGCUUGGCAUUGCUUCCUUGGGGCCUCAGGUGCUGACUCCAUCUCACAGAGUGAGCAGCUGCACAGGGUCACCUCGAGCCAUCCCACAGGCUUCUCAGGGCAGCAGGGGACAUUUGUCCACAUCUUGGGGACUUCAGUUCCUGGUCCAGCGUCUUAGUGCAAACCUGAAUUUGGUGACAGCUGACUGCUGAGCUGGGAACUGAGCUAACCUAGAUACAGACCCAGGAGUGGCAUUCUCCAGGAGGCACCAGGGAGGUGGCUAAGGAGGGUAACGUGUCUUUGUGGGGCUGCAACUGGCUCUGCUGGAACUCAUUGGCCAGAGCCCUGUGUCAGGCUGCUCUCCCUCAUGUCUGGCUGCUACUGCACUCUCUGUUUUUGAAUUUUCCAAUAACUUGUUUCUCCUGCCUAUUUUUAUCUCUUUAUCAUCUGCCACAAUCCCACUGCAGCCUGGCUGUUUGCCACAGAGGGUCUCCUCACCUGACCAUCGCCGCAUUUGGGAACAUUUUGGAGAUUGUUUGCGCUGGCAGGAGGCAGAGCUGCUGUUUGGUCUGUCACAGCAGUGGGUUUUGUGCAACAUGAAUGACAGCUGGCCUUUCUGCUCUGCCACGCAGUGCAGGAUUGACCAGAAGUUGUUUUAUAAUUAAGCUAUAAGACAGGAUACACCAUGUGUUUCUGGGUAACUGAAACAUGCUGUGGGUGACGGUAGUUCUGAGGCAAAAGGAUAAAGUGACUUCAGUGUAAUACUCACCUGACUGAUGUACAUCGCCAGAUCCUGCAGUAUUUUUAUAAUAAUCAUGCUUACUGCUAAGUACUUCACACUCUUCAUCUUUAAAGCAUCUUGCAGACAUUAACUAAUUAAUUGGCACAACAGCCCAGUGAGGGAGGCGAGACCAGGGAGAGAUUAUUAAAAGCAGAGUGGGUCCUCAGGGUAGAAUUAAGUGGAUAAGAUCGGUAACAUUUUAUUGCAUGACUAUUUUAGCACAACAGAAGAACCUGAAGUGAAAUGUAUGAGUUUGAUGAAUGCCUUUCUUGUGUGUUACCCAGGUAGGGAGGAGAGGACCCCCUGUUCCAGGAGGCCCAGCUGUUCCCUGAGUGCUGAACCAUUGAGGACCCUGCAGCGCUGCCUUCGCAGGCUGUUACUCCAGGGCUGCUUGUGCACAUCAGGGCUAUGUUCUACAGCAUGCAUCUAGAAAAGCCACAACAUAAACAGGUCCUUUGCAAAAUGAGACUGUGACUUCCUAGAAUUCUGUGGCUUUUCUGACUUAGUAGAACUCUCUACUUCCCUUAAUGAGAAAUAGCUGAAAUCUCCUGACUUUAGGAGUGACCUACAUGUGACAUCUUUGCUUGAGGGAGAGGUGGGAGUAUUCAGUUAUUUAAGGUUGUCUUUUGAAAGAAAUGAAAUGGUAGAAUACCAGAAUAACUCAUUGCAUCUCACCUGUUUUUUAUCCUCUCCUGAAAGUAAAAAGUUAAAUGUGUAAUCAGAAAUUUCAGAAGUGGUGUUUCUUUUGUUAGUUUAUUUUGGGUAAGUCUUGCUCUUAAAGAGGGGUAGGAGGUUGGUGUUGUUUUCAGAAUGGCUGCUUCUCCAUCUGAAAUAUGGAGAGAUGCUGC
Phalacrocorax carbo (great cormorant) is the source of this 4372-nucleotide non-coding RNA. Lineage: Eukaryota; Metazoa; Chordata; Aves; Suliformes; Phalacrocoracidae. The record is from RefSeq and is a predicted model, not a curated record.